CACUCGUCACCAGCGUCCAGAACCCCUGCAGCCCUCGGCCUGCCCGCUGAGGACAGCACAGUCUGGAGGAAGUCCUGCAGAGCCCGGGACCGGGCACAAGGCCGGAGCCGCACAGCAGCAGCAAAGCAGGGGACCAGGGCCUGCACAGUGCCCCUGCACCCCAAGAGCAGGGGACAGGAAGAAAAGCUCCCUGGGGGCUUCAAAGACCAAGCUGAGGAGAGACGGCCCACCGGCACCUCCCACACCCUCCCUAGGGGGUGGCGACCACCUGCAGCACACGCCGAGCCUGGGGAGGGCAGGCGAGCGCCCCAGGUGCGUUCCCCAUGCGCACGGCCGCUGCUGAGGGCAGCGCUCACUUGAGGGCUUCCGGGGGCUCUGCGGCUUGCCGGGCCAGCCUCCCACCGCGUCCAGUCCUCACCUGUGGCUGCGUUCUGGAGCAGCUGGCUCCUCCUGGCGCCCGGGUCUCCUCCCUUUGCUAGGAAGCCAAUGGGAACGCGCCCACCUGUGCAGUCAGCCAGCGCCGCAGACAGUCCUUCCCCGAGAUUCCCCCGCCGUUCCUGCUUCGUGACAAAUGAGUUCCGUGUGUGGCGUUGCCGGCAGAAACCCAGCACUUCUGCCCCAGCAGCCGCCCAGCUGUCCGUCCAGAGUGAUAGGCACGCUUCCCUGUGCACGGGUGGCAGUGGGUGCCCGUCGGGACCUGGCCUGGUGUUGCCUUCGAGACCGUGGACUUGGAACGUGUAGGGGCUGGGUUGCUGGAGAGAAGCCCGGUGGCUGAGGUGCAGACCCGGAAGCCGCAGCCUGGUGUCAGAGUGAGCCCAGGGGACCGGCACACCUCCCUUGCUCGGCGCCUCCUGUGGGUACCUGCCUGGCACAGGGGGAGCAGGGAAGCCAGGCUCGCCCUCCCCUGGGGGGUGCAGUGUGGUGGGACCUGGAGCAGAACAGGUGCACCACGUCCACGUGGGAGAAGGCAGGCCCAGGCAGGGCCGCACCUGCCUCCCCUGACAGGGCCCUGCCGGGCUGGUGGGAGCUCAGACCGGAAGCCUAGUGUUUAAAUCGCCUCGGGGCCGGCAUCCUGGUACCUGGGUUAAGCCACCAUCUGCAGCACCCGCCUCCCCUAUCUGUGCCAGUUCUAGUCCAGGCAGCCCCACUUCCGACCCAGCACCUGCUGAUGGUCUGGGGAGGCAGGGGAAGAUGGCCCAAGUCCCUGGGUCCCUACACCCACGCGGGAGACCAGGUUGGAGUGCCUGGCUUCUGCCUGCCCACACCUGGCUGUUGCGGCCACUUGGGGAGUGAACCAAUGGAUGGAAGAUUGUCUCUCUGCCUCCCCCCCACCUCUCCCUCUCUCACUCCCUCUCUCUCUCUCCCCCACUCCCCUUCCCCCUCCCUCUGACUCUGCUUUUACAAAUAAAUGAAUCUGUUAAAAAAUGUCUUUGAAGCCU
RNAcentral lists this long non-coding RNA (1439 nucleotides) under Oryctolagus cuniculus (rabbit). Its description in RNAcentral is "lncRNA (ENSOCUG00000032270.1)". Lineage: Eukaryota; Metazoa; Chordata; Mammalia; Lagomorpha; Leporidae. The record is from RNAcentral.